GAACGCACAUUGCGGCCCCGGCUCACUGCCGGGGCCUCGCCUGUCCGAGGGUCGGCGAACUUGUGAUCGCCCAUCGCUCCCCGGCUCGGGGACGCGAGGGCGCGUUGGCGCGUCGCGCUGGCCACCACGGUGGUCGGCCCGUCCGUCUCGAGAGUUCAGCCUCCGCGAGUCGCUCGAUAGCCAUCCCGGCGAGUGGCACGCUGACAGGGCUCGAUGGGCCUCUUGUCUCGCGUGCAUGUCUCCUACCUAGUAGGGGACGACCUCCCGGGCGGCCGACGGCUCGUUCAGAGCGGAGUUUGUUACGUACGUGUGUGCAGCACACGGGCGAACACCUACACACUCCGACCUCGGAUCAGACGAGACUACCCGCUGAACUUAAGCAUA
RNAcentral lists this unclassified non-coding RNA (384 nucleotides) under Potamocorbula sp. Gd03. RNAcentral's name for it is "partial contains 5.8S rRNA, ITS2 and 28S RNA". The record is from RNAcentral. Lineage: Eukaryota; Metazoa; Mollusca; Bivalvia; Myida; Corbulidae. RNAcentral also lists the same sequence under 3 other names.